RNAcentral lists this ribosomal RNA (229 nucleotides) under uncultured bacterium. Its description in RNAcentral is "partial 16S ribosomal RNA". It matches the Rfam family "Bacterial small subunit ribosomal RNA", at positions 568 to 796 of the family's 1533-position model. The record is from RNAcentral.
UCCGUAGGCGGGCAAUUAAGUCAGAGGUGAAAUCCCACAGCUCAACUGUGGAACUGCCUUAGAUACUGGUUAUCUUGAGUUUUAGUGAAGUAGAUAGAAUGUGUAGUGUAGCGGUGAAAUGCAUAGAUAUUACACAGAAUACCGAUUGCGAAGGCAGUCUACUAACUAACAACUGACGCUAAUGGACGAAAGCGUGGGGAGCGAACAGGAUUAGAUACCCUGGUAGUCC